CCUUAGACGACAAACCAACAACAAGAAAACAGAGGAAGGCGUGGUCUUGACGUUACAAAUUUUCUAGACCCAUAGAAGCUUCGACCCAACUACCUCCAUGCUUCGUUUUUCUUGGUUGUGGCCUUUAUUUGAGGACGAACCAUUGUCACCAACAAGCUCUGAGUCCUCCAAAAUUGCAUAACUCCUGCUUUUGUACCAAAACUGAACAGCUCCUUCCACAAUUGUCCCCGCCAACCAACAACCCAUCCUUCUACGGUUUCAGCUCACCAUCCUCACCGGAGGCAGCCCCCAAUUCGCUGUUGCUGCUGUCUCGCUGUUAGGACUCCUCCCUCGCCGGUGCAACCCCCCGUUCGAGCAAAACACUCGCCGCCUCGCCUCCAAGAAACCCCGCUGUUCCUGCUCGGUCCGACUCAGCUGAGGAAUCGGCUUCUCAGCAGUAGGCCGAGAGCCUCGCCGACCUGAGAAGAGCCAUCUUGAGGUAUCCCAGCACCUCUUGGAGUGGAGACCUCAUCACCGGCACAAGAAAUGCGUGGUUUUAGCGUUGAAUCCGUCACAAGCCUUUGGGGCCGGACGAUGCUCCUUCGGGAAUGCCCCAAGUCAACGGAUGCCGGUCGUAGUGGAUGCCGGACCGAUACUCCUAAUCGGAAUGCCGUCUGAGUAUAGACAUUGCCAUGCUCGACGAUGCAAGACGAUGCCCGGUUAUGCCAGAAGACUGUUAUUUAUUGCAUUAACUAUGGCCCGUAUGCUUACAUUGAUAUUUAUGUCUUUGCAUAUACUCAUGUUAAGGUAUUCAUAUGAUGUGUGAACUCGAUACUGUUAUGUAUGAUUUGAUUGACACUAACAUACAGGAAAAUGUUGAUAUUUUAAAAGUUGAGAAACGUGACUAGGUUGCAUGUAGAGUGUACCCUUCUCCUACUCGGGAUUUAGGGGAUUAACUCGCUGAGAUGUAAUCUCACCCCGUUGUGGGCUAAAAUAUUUCAAGUCCUUAGAUGGAGGAUUUUCAAGAGGAGUACGGGGAGUCGAAGGAAGUGAAAGUUAGGUCUUAGUUUAGUUUCUGUCAGGAGUCGAUGGGUCUUCCAUCUAGUUUGGACACUGGGUGACAACUUACGCUUUUGUUAUCGAUAAGUCUGACGGGAUCGCCUAGGACCCUGUUCCCAUGGACGAGGAGUUCGGAGCAUAGAUAGCCUAGAAGCUCUCCUUUUUGAAACAGAUCCUUGUCAUGCUAGACUUUUAUGUGUGUAAACACUCUUGUAAAAAUAUGUAUGUUUAGUGUAAAUAUAAUCCUAUAUUUGCUAUCC
Eucalyptus grandis is the source of this 1298-nucleotide long non-coding RNA. RefSeq lists it as uncharacterized. NCBI's taxonomy places the organism in Eukaryota, Viridiplantae, Streptophyta, Magnoliopsida, Myrtales, Myrtaceae. The transcript has 2 exons. The record is from RefSeq and is a predicted model, not a curated record.